This 553-nucleotide long non-coding RNA is filed under the name Homo sapiens (human). RNAcentral's name for it is "non-protein coding lnc-BRF1-10:2". The record is from RNAcentral. Lineage: Eukaryota; Metazoa; Chordata; Mammalia; Primates; Hominidae.
UCCACCCCAGCCUCCUGAGCCUGAGUAGCAGGGGCUAUAGGCUGCCCUCUAGCCGGGCUUCACCUUCCAGUCUCCAUGAUGGAGAAGGCUGGAGGCGGUGGUCUCCACAGUUGCAGCCCAGCCCUGGAGACGUGGACGGAGUGGGCAGCCCAGAAAAUUCAUCUGAACAGCCUUCCUACAGCCGCUCCCCACACCAGGUGGCCAGGUGGGAGUUCCAGACCAGAGCUGUCUCCCGGGAUGUUGACACAGCAGCCACGUUGAUUGGUGUUGGGGCAGCCCCUGUCGGUGUGGCUGGCUUCGGGCCUGGCAUUGGAACGGUGUCUGGCAGCUUGUUGGCUAUGCCGGGAAUCUGUUUCUCAAGCAGCAGCUCAUCUCCGAUGCCAUUCUGGGCUUUGCUGUGUCUGAGGCCAUGGGGCUGUUCUGUUUGGUGGUCGUCUUCCUCAUCCUCGCCACGUGAGGCUCCACAGGGGUCACCUGCCUGUCCCUGCUGCCCGUCCCUACUCCACGCCAUUCCUGGUGAUGGGGUAUGCUAAUUUUUACCAUUAAACACACG